Molecule: long non-coding RNA, 1992 nt
Filed under: Marmota monax (woodchuck)
Lineage: Eukaryota; Metazoa; Chordata; Mammalia; Rodentia; Sciuridae
Source: RNAcentral
CUAGGAAUUCCUUGCCUUUCCUAGAUUUCAGCCUCCAAAGGCAAUGAUCUCUACCCUGUAUACAUUAAAUAGAGGUCAAAAGUUACCAAGUUGUGCUCAGACUUCUAAAAGAUAACCCUGGCAAAGGCGUUUAAGAUUAAAGCAUAACCAUUUAAUUAAAGAACAUCAGAACAGGGGUGGACAGUUCAUGUGAAGGUCAAUGUUAGUAGAAAAGGGAGUUGACAUUCAUGAGAACCUAACAUGUCACAGAUACCAUGCCAGAUAAUUCAGAGCAGUCAGUGGGAAAGAGCUUAUCACAGGAGCUCAGGAAGUAUUGUUGGCUAACAGAGUAGGUAUGGAGAAGAGGGCAACUAGGAGUGGGAGUAACUCCUAUGUAUGUAGUCCAUGUGUAGCCUGUUGAAGUUAUCUUUUUAAACAUGAAAGACAAUUUCUAGAAGAGACUAGAGUGAAAUUGGGAUGGGAGUGGGGAGAAUAGGAGACAAGAAAAUAAAGCCAUAAGUAUAGGGUUGUCUGCCAGGACAAUCAAGAGAAAAAACAAGAAUAAGUCAUGAAGCUGUUGCACAGUUUAGCCCAAUAAGUCUGUGAAUAGUGGAAUUCAGUUGUGUCACCUUUUUUAAAAAAAUAUUUUUUAGUUGUCAACAGAUCUUUAUUCUAUUUAUUUAUAUGUGAUGCUGAGACUUGAACCCAGGGCCCCAUAUAUGUCAGUCAAGUGCUGUACCACUGAGCCACAACCCUAGCCCACAGUUGUGUUACUUUUUAUGAAUGUUUAUUGUUUAUUUCAAGAGAAGUCACAAAUUUUAAAGGUACUAGGCCAAUCUGGUCAAAACUCUUCCUGUGAAGUAUUAUCAUUAUUAUUAGAUAUGAUUUGCUGAAUGUUUACUAUAUGCCAGACCCUGCACUGCGAUCUUUCUAACCUUCAUAACAAUCCCAUAAUUUUAGCAAAUUUCUAUCUAAGAAAUAUGAAAACAAAAACAAAGCAAGAGGGACUGGGGCUAGGGCUAGGGCUCAGCGAUAGAGCACUUGCCUGGCAUGUGUGUGGCACUGGGUUCUAUUCUCAGCACUGCAUAUAAAUAAGUAAAAUAAAGGUCUAUUAAUAAUCAGAGGAAAAAAAUUAAAAAAAACAAGAUUAUAUAAUUUUCACAGGAUUCCAUUAAUUAUAAAUGGAAAGCCUGAUGCAUUACUAAAUUUUUUUCUCAGGGCUAAAUGGUUUUAAAAAAUAAGACAUUCUGAUUUACUUCAUUUUCUUCAUGUGGUUCACUGUAGAUAGACAGAAAUAGAUUGUUUAAUAGUUCAGACUAUCAGAAAAUUUCAAACAUUAAUUUUAAUAGAUGUAUAAACUUAUAAUCUCAUUAAAGUAACAGUUCUAAGCAAGAUAUUAAUUUAUAAAUAGUACAUUUCAUAAACUCUCUCCAAUAAGCUCUGUUAAGUUAGAAUUCCUAACCUAGUGACAAAGCCUGCAUGGCAGUUCUCAGACUAGUACAAAUAUACAUGUUUAAUCUGUGGUGUAUCUAAGUUGUUAAUUGUUCAAUAUGUGUUUUACUUUCUGGGAUCAAGGGCACAUUAAGAAAGUAUUGUUACUGGGAGUAAUGAGGUAGAGGGAAGGAAGUAGAAGAAGAAGUGAGUUUCCUGAUAGUCAACUAGAAAUGGAGUUCUUAAUUAGGAAUUGGUUGUAUUCACAAAAUUUGUAAAUUGCUUAUUGGAAUUCAAGACAUUCUGUCAGAAAAAAAAAUGAUAUGUAGUGUUUUAGUUUUCAGCUGGCCCACAAAGCUUAUUUAAGUGAUAAUAUAGUUGACAUUUAUUUUUUAUUUUAUUUGACCCCCUACUGUCUUUGCCCUAUAGGUUAUUUCCUUUUCUUUUUUUUUUUUAAUUUUUCUUUUGUUAUUUGGUGACUUCAAGCAAAUUAUUUAACUGCAACAUGUGUUGGUUUCUUUAUCUAUAAGAUGAGGAUAAUAACCAUAGUACCGACUUAAUCCUGAUGAUAAAAUGAAUGGG